This 355-nucleotide transfer-messenger RNA is filed under the name bacterium. RNAcentral's name for it is "DSBX01 sp011049385 Standard tmRNA". It matches the Rfam family "transfer-messenger RNA". From Rfam's summary of the family: Bacterial tmRNA, also known as 10Sa RNA or SsrA, is named for its dual tRNA and mRNA-like properties. Its role is to liberate the mRNA from a stalled ribosome. The record is from RNAcentral. RNAcentral also lists the same sequence under 1 other name.
GGGGGCGAAGGGCUUCGACGGAGUGCCUGAGGGGCCCGAGCGCAUGGCGAGGUUACCUCUAUCACCUCGUAAAUCCUGGUAGAGGAAAUACAGCUGCCAACAACAGCUACGCACUGGCUGCCUAGUAACGCAGGCGGUCCCUCGGACUGCGAGUUCACCCGGCGCAGUUUCGGGGUCUAACAGGGUGAUAAAGGCCGGCGGUCCGCCCCAGGUUGCCGGCUGGAUUGCAACGGGGCUGGUCGGCUGCCGCCCGUCAACCGGCUGAGCGGCUGACGAGAAUUGUAGGUUGACUAACCAUGUAGAGCUCUGGUCGCGAACUCUCCGGACGCGGGUUCGAUUCCCGCCGCCUCCAUUG